This 750-nucleotide ribosomal RNA is filed under the name Streptomyces cirratus. RNAcentral's name for it is "bacterial SSU rRNA". It matches the Rfam family "Bacterial small subunit ribosomal RNA", at positions 99 to 861 of the family's 1533-position model. The record is from RNAcentral. Lineage: Bacteria; Bacillati; Actinomycetota; Actinomycetes; Kitasatosporales; Streptomycetaceae.
CGAACGGGUGAGUAACACGUGGGCAAUCUGCCCUUCACUCUGGGACAAGCCCUGGAAACGGGGUCUAAUACCGGAUAAUACUCCUGCCUGCAUGGGUGGGGGUUGAAAGCUCCGGCGGUGAAGGAUGAGCCCGCGGCCUAUCAGCUUGUUGGUGGGGUAAUGGCCCACCAAGGCGACGACGGGUAGCCGGCCUGAGAGGGCGACCGGCCACACUGGGACUGAGACACGGCCCAGACUCCUACGGGAGGCAGCAGUGGGGAAUAUUGCACAAUGGGCGAAAGCCUGAUGCAGCGACGCCGCGUGAGGGAUGACGGCCUUCGGGUUGUAAACCUCUUUCAGCAGGGAAGAAGCGAAAGUGACGGUACCUGCAGAAGAAGCGCCGGCUAACUACGUGCCAGCAGCCGCGGUAAUACGUAGGGCGCAAGCGUUGUCCGGAAUUAUUGGGCGUAAAGAGCUCGUAGGCGGCUUGUCACGUCGGAUGUGAAAGCCCGAGGCUUAACCUCGGGUCUGCAUUCGAUACGGGCUAGCUAGAGUGUGGUAGGGGAGAUCGGAAUUCCUGGUGUAGCGGUGAAAUGCGCAGAUAUCAGGAGGAACACCGGUGGCGAAGGCGGAUCUCUGGGCCAUUACUGACGCUGAGGAGCGAAAGCGUGGGGAGCGAACAGGAUUAGAUACCCUGGUAGUCCACGCCGUAAACGUUGGGAACUAGGUGUUGGCGACAUUCCACGUCGUCGGUGCCGCAGCUAACGCAUU